RNAcentral lists this ribosomal RNA (433 nucleotides) under uncultured bacterium. RNAcentral describes it as "partial 16S ribosomal RNA". It matches the Rfam family "Bacterial small subunit ribosomal RNA", at positions 29 to 507 of the family's 1533-position model. The record is from RNAcentral.
AACGAACGCUGGCGGCAUGCCUAACACAUGCAAGUCGAACGAGACCUUCGGGUCUAGUGGCGCACGGGUGCGUAACGCGUGGGAACCUGCCCUUAGGUUCGGAAUAACUCCCCGAAAGGGGUGCUAAUACCGGAUAAUGUCUUCGGACCAAAGAUUUAUCGCCUUUGGAUGGGCCCGCGUUGGAUUAGCUAGUUGGUAGGGUAAAAGCCUACCAAGGCGACGAUCCAUAGCUGGUCUGAGAGGAUGAUCAGCCACACUGGGACUGAGACACGGCCCAGACUCCUGCGGGAGGCAGCAGUGGGGAAUAUUGGACAAUGGGCGAAAGCCUGAUGCAGCAAGGCCGCGUGAGUGAUGAAGGCCUUAGGGUUGUAAAGCUCUUUUACCCGGGAUGAUAAUGACAGUACCGGGAGAAUAAGCUCCGGCUAACUCCGUG